UACGUAGGUGGCAAGCGUUAUCCGGAAUUAUUGGGCGUAAAGAGCGCGCAGGUGGUUAAUUAAGUCUGAUGUGAAAGCCCACGGCUUAACCGUGGAGGGUCAUUGGAAACUGGUUGACUUGAGUGCAGAAGAGGGAAGUGGAAUUCCAUGUGUAGCGGUGAAAUGCGUAGAGAUAUGGAGGAACACCAGUGGCGAAGGCGGCUUCCUGGUCUGCAACUGACGCUGAGGCGCGAAAGCGUGGGGAGCAAACAGU
This 253-nucleotide ribosomal RNA is filed under the name uncultured bacterium. Its description in RNAcentral is "partial 16S ribosomal RNA". It matches the Rfam family "Bacterial small subunit ribosomal RNA", at positions 524 to 776 of the family's 1533-position model. The record is from RNAcentral.